UACAGAGGGUGCAAACGUUGUUCGGAAUUACUGGGCGUAAAGGGCUCGUAGGCGGCCAACUAAGUCGGACGUGAAAUCCCUCAGCUUAACUGGGGAACUGCGUCCGAUACUGGAUGGCUUGGAUUUGGGAGAGGGAUGCGGAAUUCCAGGUGUAGCGGUGAAAUGCGUAGAUAUCUGGAGGAACACCGGUGGCGAAGGCGGCAUCCUGGACCAACAUUGACGCUGAGGAGCGAAAGCCAGGGGAGCAAACGGG
RNAcentral lists this ribosomal RNA (253 nucleotides) under uncultured bacterium. RNAcentral's name for it is "partial 16S ribosomal RNA". It matches the Rfam family "Bacterial small subunit ribosomal RNA", at positions 524 to 776 of the family's 1533-position model. The record is from RNAcentral.